RNAcentral lists this ribosomal RNA (257 nucleotides) under uncultured bacterium. RNAcentral's name for it is "partial 16S ribosomal RNA". It matches the Rfam family "Bacterial small subunit ribosomal RNA", at positions 524 to 776 of the family's 1533-position model. The record is from RNAcentral.
UACGUAGGGCGCAAGCGUUUAUCCGGAAUUAUUGGGCGUAAAGAGCUCGUAGGCGGUUUGUCGCGUCUGCCGGUGAAAGUCCGGGGCUCAACUCCGGAUCUGCGGGUGGGUACGGGCAGACUAGAGUGAUGUAGGGGAGACUGGAAUUCCUGGUGUAGCGGUGAAAUGCGCAGAUAUCAGGAGGAACACCGAUGGCGAAGGCAGGUCUCUGGGCAUUAACUGACGCUGGAGGAGCGAAAGCAUGGGGAGCGAACAGG